This is an RNA transcript of Populus nigra (black poplar), 853 nucleotides long. RefSeq lists it as uncharacterized. The record is from RefSeq and is a predicted model, not a curated record. The transcript is spliced from 4 exons. NCBI's taxonomy places the organism in Eukaryota, Viridiplantae, Streptophyta, Magnoliopsida, Malpighiales, Salicaceae.
UCUGGAGAGCGGAAAUCAUCCGACACAGACAAAGAGGAUUUACAGCAAUGGCUAUUGCAACAAUAGCAGCAGUGGCAACAAAACCAUCCUCAAUACCCCUGUUGAUAAGAAAGAAGCCGAAAUGGGUCUUCACUCCUUUGGCUUUCUGUUCUUCUUCUUCAUCAGCAAGUAGAAGAAAACUGAUUCUUUAUUCAAAGCCUGGAUGUUGUUUGUGUGAUGGCCUCAAAGAGAAGCUCCAGGCGGCAUUCUUGCUCUCUGGUCCUCAUUCCCUUCAUGAUGUUGAUUUACAGGUAAGGGAUAUUACCAGCAAUCCUGAAUGGGAGAGGGCUUACCAGUAUGAGAUACCCGUUUUGGCCAAAGUACUCUCUGAUGGCACCGAGUGACAUUGGCAAAUGACAAAGUUGUGUUUUGCACACGAAAAUAAUGAUGAUGAAAUAUGUUCUGUCCCCCCCACCCCCCCUUCAUUACAAUUUACUUCUCCCGGUCUUUGUGUGAGAGUACUUUCAGGAAACUUUACCCAGAAUAUCUCCUCGACUUGGAGUGGAGCUCGUCCACAAAAAGAUAGCAGCUGCUUUGAUCCAAUAAGGUUCCUCUACAUAAUUAAAAUUCUAGCUGGUGUGAAAUUUGUUAUUGCAUGGGACAAUGUAUCUUGUCAGAAAAGACUGGACAUAAAAUACCUUUAAUAGCUUAUGUUCAAAUGAAUUUUGAAUUCAUCAAUAAUGAUCUCCAAAAGGCACUCUUAAUUUUGCCAUCAGAACUGAUCACAUGGCGUUUAAUUAUGUUCCUCUACUGAAAGAAAACUAGUUAAUGCUAUCAAUAUCUUGGUGAUUUGCAAACCACCAUUUUCUAUUCA